GAAACGACUGCUAAGACUGGAUAGGAAGUUUUAGGCAUCUUGGCUUUUAAAAGACCUCGCAAGGGUAUGCUGAGAGAUGGGCUUGCGGCACAUUAGUUAGUUGGUAAGGUAACGGCUUACCAAGACCGUGAUGUGUAGCUGGACUGAGAGGUUGAACGGCCACAUUGGGACUGAGAUACGGCCCAAACUCCUACGGGAGGCAGCAGUAAGGAAUUUUCGGCAAUGGAGGAAACUCUGACCGAGCAACGCCGCGUGAACGAUGAAGUAUUUAGGUAUGUAAAGUUCUUUUAUUAAAGAAGAAAAAAUGAUGGAAAAAUCAUUCUGACGGUAUUUAAUGAAUAAGCCCCGGCUAACUAUGUGCCAGCAGCUGCGGUAAUACAUGGGGGGCAAGCGUUAUCCGGAUUUAUUGGGCGUAAAGGGUGCGUAGGCGGUUUAAUAAGUCUAUGGUCUAAGUUCAACGCUUAACGUUGUGAUGCUAUAGAAACUGUUUGACUAGAGUUGGAUAGAGGCAAGUGGAAUUCCAUGUGUAGCGGUAAAAUGCGUAAAGAUAUGGAGGAACACCAGUAGCGAAGGCGGCUUGCUGGGUCUUAACUGACGCUGAGGCACGAAAGCGUGGGGAGCAAACAGGAUUAGAUACCCUGGUAGUCCACGCCGUAAACGAUGAGUACUAAGUGUUGGGUUAAACCAGUGCUGAAGUUAACGCAUUAAGUACUCCGCCUGAGUAGUACGUACGCAAGUAUGAAACUUAAAGGAAUUGACGGGACUCCGCACAAGCGGUGGAUCAUGUUGUUUAAUUCGAAGAUACACGAAAAACCUUACCAGGUCUUGGACAUACUCUGCAAAGCUAUAGAAUAUAGUGGAGGUUAUCAGGGAUACAGGUGGGUGCAUGGGUUGUCGUCAGCUCGUGUCGUGAGAUGUUGGGUUAAGUCCCGCAACGAGCGCAACCCUUAUCGCUAGUUACCAUCAUUUAGUUGGGCACUUUAGUGAGACUGCCAAUGAUAAAUUGGAGGAAGGUGGGGAUUACGUCAAAUCAUCAUGCCCCUUAUGACCUGGGCUACAAACGUGAUACAAUGGCUGUUACAAAGAGUAGCUGAAGCGUGAGUUUUUAGCAAAUCUCAAAAAAACAGUCUCAGUUCGGAUUGAAGUCUGCAACUCGACUUCAUGAAGUCGGAAUCGCUAGUAAUCGCGAAUCAGCAUGUCGUGGUGAAUACGUUCUCGGGGUUUGUACACACCGCC
This 1236-nucleotide ribosomal RNA is filed under the name Candidatus Phytoplasma pyri. RNAcentral describes it as "bacterial SSU rRNA". It matches the Rfam family "Bacterial small subunit ribosomal RNA", at positions 153 to 1394 of the family's 1533-position model. The record is from RNAcentral. Lineage: Bacteria; Bacillati; Mycoplasmatota; Mollicutes; Acholeplasmatales; Acholeplasmataceae.